GACGAACGCUGGCGGCGUGCUUAACACAUGCAAGUCGAACGAUGAAGCUGGAGCUUGCUCCGGUGGAUUAGUGGCGAACGGGUGAGUAACACGUGAGUAAUCUGCCCUUGACUCUGGGAUAACUGCGGGAAACUGUAGCUAAUACCGGAUACGACACCUUCGGGCAUCCGAUGGGUGUGGAAAGAAUUUCGGUCAAGGAUGAACUCGCGGCCUAUCAGCUAGUUGGUGAGGUAAUGGCUCACCAAGGCGACAACGGGUAGCCGGCCUGAGAGGGUGACCGGCCACACUGGGACUGAGACACGGCCCAGACUCCUACGGGAGGCAGCAGUGGGGAAUAUUGCACAAUGGGCGAAAGCCUGAUGCAGCAACGCCGCGUGAGGGAUGAAGGCCUUCGGGUUGUAAACCUCUUUUAGUUGGGAAGAAGCGAAAGUGACGGUACCAACAGAAAAAGCACCGGCUAACUACGUGCCAGCCGCCGCGGUAA
Molecule: ribosomal RNA, 484 nt
Filed under: uncultured bacterium
Lineage: Bacteria
Description: partial 16S ribosomal RNA
Rfam family: Bacterial small subunit ribosomal RNA
Source: RNAcentral